RNAcentral lists this ribosomal RNA (440 nucleotides) under uncultured bacterium. Its description in RNAcentral is "partial 16S ribosomal RNA". It matches the Rfam family "Bacterial small subunit ribosomal RNA", at positions 338 to 795 of the family's 1533-position model. The record is from RNAcentral.
CCUACGUGUGUCAGCAGUGGGGGAUAUUGCACAAUGGGGGAAACCCUGAUGCAGCGACGCCGCGUGAGUGAAGAAGUAUUUCGGUAUGUAAAGCUCUAUCAGCAGGGAAGAAAAUGACAUGUACUGACCAAGAAGCCCCGGACAACUACGUCCCAGCCGCCGCGGUAAUACGGAGGGGCAAAGGUUUAAGCGGAUUUAAGGGGUGGAAAGGGGGCGGAGAUGGUUAUGGAAGUCUGGAGGGAAAGCCCGGGGCCCAACCCCGGGACUGUUUUGGAAAAUGUAUAACGGGAGUACAGGAGGGGCAGGCGGAAUUCCUGGUGUAGCGGUGAAAUGCGUAGAUAUCAGGAGGAACACCAGCGGCGAAGGCGGCCUGCUGGACUGAAACUGACGUUGAGGCUCGAAAGCGUGGGGAGCAAACAGGAUUAGAUACCCUUGUAGUC